UGGGGAAUAUUGGACAAUGGGCGAAAGCCUGAUCCAGCAAUGCCGCGUGAGUGAUGAAGGCCUUAGGGUUGUAAAGCUCUUUUACCCGGGAUGAUAAUGACAGUACCGGGAGAAUAAGCUCCGGCUAACUCCGUGCCAGCAGCCGCGGUAAUACGGAGGGAGCUAGCGUUGUCCGGAAUUACUGGGCGUAAAGCGCGCGCAGGCGGCUAUCCAAGUCAGUGGUGAAAGCCCGGAGCUCAACUCCGGAACUGCCAUUGAAACUGUUUAGCUUGAGGACGAGAGAGGUGAGUGGAAUUCCCAGUGUAGAGGUGAAAUUCGUAGAUAUUGGGAAGAACACCAGUGGCGAAGGCGGCUCACUGGCUCGUAUCUGACGCUCAGGCGCGAUAGCGUGGGGAUCAAAC
RNAcentral lists this ribosomal RNA (401 nucleotides) under uncultured bacterium. RNAcentral describes it as "bacterial SSU rRNA". It matches the Rfam family "Bacterial small subunit ribosomal RNA", at positions 355 to 773 of the family's 1533-position model. The record is from RNAcentral.